This 300-nucleotide ribosomal RNA is filed under the name uncultured Lactobacillus sp. RNAcentral describes it as "bacterial SSU rRNA". It matches the Rfam family "Bacterial small subunit ribosomal RNA", at positions 496 to 795 of the family's 1533-position model. The record is from RNAcentral. Lineage: Bacteria; Bacillati; Bacillota; Bacilli; Lactobacillales; Lactobacillaceae.
GCUAACUCUGUGCCAGCAGCCGCGGUAAUGAAGGUGGGGGGAGCGUUAAUCGGAUUUACUGGGCGUAAAGCGCGCGUAGGUGGCUAAUUAAGUCAAAUGUGAAAUCCCCGAGCUUAACUUGGGAAUUGCAUUCGAUACUGGUUAGCUAGAGUAUGGGAGAGGAUGGUAGAAUUCCAGGUGUAGCGGUGAAAUGCGUAGAGAUCUGGAGGAAUACCGAUGGCGAAGGCAGCCAUCUGGCCUAAUACUGACACUGAGGUGCGAAAGCAUGGGGAGCAAACAGGAUUAGAUACCCGGGUCGUC